This 1737-nucleotide long non-coding RNA is filed under the name Heterocephalus glaber (naked mole-rat). RNAcentral describes it as "lncRNA (ENSHGLG00000035490.1)". The record is from RNAcentral. Lineage: Eukaryota; Metazoa; Chordata; Mammalia; Rodentia; Bathyergidae.
CAGCCCACCUGGUUAGUCUGCCUAGCCUUAGGACUUGUACUAGCUACAGGCUGUGGGAGAAGGACCCUCGGAGACCCUCAAGCCACACAAUGGAUCGAAUUCAGGAUCUUGCGCUUGCAAGACAGGCGCGGUGCCACUGAGCUAAAUCCCUGGCCCAGUGUAUUGUUAAGAAGGACAGGAAAAGGUGUUCCAGCUAAGGCCUACUACCUGGAGGGGCUGUCUGUUCUUUUCUGUUUGUUUGUAUGUUUGUUGCUUUUCUUUUUUUUUUAAACAGGUAUUCCUGUGUUGUUCAGGCUGGCUUUGAACUCACUCAGUAGCCCAGGCAGAUAAACUCACAGCAAUCUUCCUACCUCAACUUCCCAAGUGCCGAGAUUUUUUUUGGCUUUGUUUUUUUGAGACAAGGUCUUGCUCUGUAGCCCAGGCUGGCCUCAAAGUCAGGGUGAUUCUUUUCCCUAGGCCUCUGGAGCUCUCAGAAUUAUGUACCACCCUGCUUGGAUUGCAGUGAACUUUUGAUCUUGUCUCAGCCCCCUGAAGUGCUGGCAUGACAGAUAUAUGCCACCAUGCCUCCUUAAGAUAGGGUUCCUUUAAACCACUACUUUUGUUUUGUUUUCUUUUGUUUGUUUUUAAUCACCACUGUUAACUAGCACUACAUUGUUUGGUUAAAUAUGUUUCAUUGAGCCAUGGUGCCCAACUUUCAUUUCAGCCACUUGGGACCCUGAGGCAGAAGGAUUGCAAUACCAAGGCCAGCCUGUACAGUGGAACAAGACCCUGUACAAUAUAAAGUAAAAAUACUGGGGCUGUGUUUCCAAUCUAAAGAACCUUAGGUAAACUGCACAAGGCUCUGAAUUCAAUCUCAGGUACUGAAGUAUAAAAAGCAAAAAUGAUAAGUAUUCAGUGGAAAAUUUACUUUAAUUUUUGAAUUUUAUGAUGUUGGCAAACUCGUGGUAUGUGGUACAAUACUUGCUCAAGAUGCUGGGCAGCAGCUGACUCACUGCUCUGUCUGGAACAGGGUACUGUGUGAAAACAGCUGGUGAUUUCCAGUGCACCAUGUUCAAAAAAGUACACAAGAAAAAAAAAAAAAAAGUACACAAGAUACUUAGUAUUUUACGUUGAAAUAGACUAUGUGUUACCUACAUUUUCUCAGCUACAAUUCUCUAUAAGUGUGUUGAGCUGUUUUAAAGGAGCCAAGGCUUAAUAAUAAUGUUUGUUAAAUUAGGUAUAUUCAAAGCCUUUUCAGUAGGUUUUAUUUUCAACUGCCUGUAGGUUGAUCAAGAUAUUUUCCCUUGGUAACUCAAGCAGCAUUCAGUGAACUCUUUAUAAAGCAACAUUCAGUCAACUCUUUGUAAAAUGUUUCUCUGUAGAAUAUGAAACUGAUCAGUUUCCUGUGUUGAGUGCUGUAUUAAUCAGGGUUUCAGGAGAAAUUGACCUGGGAUACAUGAGUAGUGUUUGGAUAAAAGAGCACAACUUUGAGUUUGUUUUCUUGUUUUGAUUUGGUUUGGUUUGAUUUUGCUAUUUAUUUAUAUUGUGUUAUAGAGCAAUGCAUCACUCUGGUCAUACUGUCUGGCUUGCUUCACCAGGACAAGGGAACAGGAUAGAAAUUGUCAAUGAACAGACCCAGGGCUGGGCAGUUUGAUCAUAAGACACUAACCAUAUACAAUAGUGAAGAGAAAAGACUCCCAUUCCUAGUUUGAAUUUAUGCUGAUUCUGGGGACCAUUCUAACUGCCUUAACCCUGGAU